CCUACGGGUGGCAGCAGUGGGGAAUAUUGGGCAAUGGGCGCAAGCCUGACCCAGCAACGCCGCGUGAAGGAAGAAGGCUUUCGGGUUGUAAACUUCUUUUAAGAGGGAAGAGCAGAAGACGUUACCUCUUGAAUAAGCCACGGCUAACUACGUGCCAGCAGCCGCGGUAAUACGGAGGUGGCAAGCGUUGUCCGGAUUAACUGGGGGUAAAGGGCGUGUAGCCGGGCUGACAAGUCAGAUGUGAAAUCCCGUGGCUCAACCACGGAACUGCAUUUGAAACUGUCGGUCUUGAGUAUCGGAGAGGAGGGCGGAAUUCCUAGUGUAGCGGUGAAAUGCGUAGAUAUUAGGAGGAACACCAGUGGCGAAGGCGGGCUGCUGGACGACAACUGACGGUGAGGCGCGAAAGCGUGGGGGGCAAACAGGAUUAGAUACCCCUGGUAGUC
RNAcentral lists this ribosomal RNA (443 nucleotides) under uncultured bacterium. RNAcentral's name for it is "partial 16S ribosomal RNA". It matches the Rfam family "Bacterial small subunit ribosomal RNA", at positions 338 to 795 of the family's 1533-position model. The record is from RNAcentral.